UAAUACGGAGGGUGCAAGCGUUAUCCGGAAUCAUUGGGUUUAAAGGGUCCGCAGGCGGAAAAAUAAGUCAGUGGUGAAAUCUCACAGCUCAACUGUGAAACUGCCAUUGAUACUGUUUUUCUUGAAUUCGAUCGAAGUGGGCGGAAUGUGACAUGUAGCGGUGAAAUGCUUAGAUAUGUCACAGAACACCGAUAGCGAAGGCAGCUCACUAGGUCUGGAUUGACGCUCAGGGACGAAAGCGUGGGGAGCAAACAGGAUUAGAUACCCUGGUAGUCCACGCCGUAAACUAUCAAUACUCGUUCUCGGGGUCGUAAGACUUCGGGGACUAAGCGAAAGUGAUAAGUAUUGCACCUGGGGAGUACGAUCGCAAGGUUG
Molecule: ribosomal RNA, 375 nt
Filed under: uncultured bacterium
Lineage: Bacteria
Description: bacterial SSU rRNA
Rfam family: Bacterial small subunit ribosomal RNA
Source: RNAcentral